This 200-nucleotide unclassified non-coding RNA is filed under the name Thermomyces sp. RNAcentral describes it as "partial internal transcribed spacer 2". Lineage: Eukaryota; Fungi; Ascomycota; Eurotiomycetes; Eurotiales; Trichocomaceae. The record is from RNAcentral.
UUAAGUUCAGCGGGUACUCCUACCUGAUCCGAGGUCAACCUUGGAAGAAUUGACCUUCAGAGGCUAUGGCCCCGGCCGGACCCCUCCUUGAGCGCGUGACAGAGCCCCAUACGCUCGAGGACCGGACGCGACGCCGCCGCUGCCUUUCAGGCCCGUCCCCUCCAAACGAGGGGACGGCGGCCCAACACACAAGCCGUGCU